AGUGAACGCUGGCGGUAGGCCUAACACAUGCAAGUCGAACGGCAGCACAGUAAGAGCUUGCUCUUACGGGUGGCGAGUGGCGGACGGGUGAGGAAUACAUCGGAAUCUACUUUUUCGUGGGGGAUAACGUAGGGAAACUUACGCUAAUACCGCAUACGACCUACGGGUGAAAGCAGGGGAUCUUCGGACCUUGCGCGAUUGAAUGAGCCGAUGUCGGAUUAACUAGUUGGGGGGGUAAAGGCCCACCAAGGCGACGAUCCGUAGCUGGUCUGAGAGGAUGAUCAGCCACACUGGAACUGAGACACGGUCCAGACUCCUACGGGAGGCAGCAGUGGGGAAUAUUGGACAAUGGGCGCAAGCCUGAUCCAGCCAUACCGCGUGGGUGAAGAAGGCCUUCGGGUUGUAAAGCCCUUUUGUUGGGAAAGAAAAGCAGCAGGUUAAUACCCCGCUGUUCUGACGGUACCCAAAGAAUAAGCACCGGCUAACUUCGUG
RNAcentral lists this ribosomal RNA (492 nucleotides) under uncultured bacterium. Its description in RNAcentral is "partial 16S ribosomal RNA". It matches the Rfam family "Bacterial small subunit ribosomal RNA", at positions 29 to 507 of the family's 1533-position model. The record is from RNAcentral.